UACGUAGGGCGCAAGCGUUGUCCGGAAUUAUUGGGCGUAAAGAGCUCGUAGGCGGUUUCGUAAGUCGGAUGUGAAAACUCCAGGCUCAACUUGGAGACGCCAUUCGAUACUGCGAUGACUUGAGUCCGGUAGGGGAGUGUGGAAUUCCUGGUGUAGCGGUGAAAUGCGCAGAUAUCAGGAGGAGCACCGGCGGCGAAGGCGGCACUCUGGGCCGGUACUGACGCUGAGGAGCGAAAGCGUGGGUAGCAAACAGG
RNAcentral lists this ribosomal RNA (254 nucleotides) under uncultured bacterium. RNAcentral's name for it is "partial 16S ribosomal RNA". It matches the Rfam family "Bacterial small subunit ribosomal RNA", at positions 524 to 776 of the family's 1533-position model. The record is from RNAcentral.